RNAcentral lists this ribosomal RNA (962 nucleotides) under uncultured bacterium. RNAcentral's name for it is "bacterial SSU rRNA". It matches the Rfam family "Bacterial small subunit ribosomal RNA", at positions 543 to 1504 of the family's 1533-position model. The record is from RNAcentral.
AUCCGGAAUUAUUGGGCGUAAAGCGUCCGCAGGCGGCUUUUCAAGUCUGCUGUUAAAGCGUGGAGCUUAACUCCAUCAUGGCAGUGGAAACUGAAAGGCUUGAGUAUGGUAGGGGCAGAGGGAAUUCCCGGUGUAGCGGUGAAAUGCGUAGAUAUCGGGAAGAACACCAGUGGCGAAGGCGCUCUGCUGGGCCAUUACUGACGCUCAUGGACGAAAGCCAGGGGAGCGAAAGGGAUUAGAUACCCCUGUAGUCCUGGCCGUAAACGAUGAACACUAGGUGUCGGGGGAAUCGACCCCUUCGGUGUCGUAGCUAACGCGUUAAGUGUUCCGCCUGGGGAGUACGCACGCAAGUGUGAAACUCAAAGGAAUUGACGGGGGCCCGCACAAGCGGUGGAGUAUGUGGUUUAAUUCGAUGCAACGCGAAGAACCUUACCAGGGUUUGACAUCCUGCGAACCUCUUAGAAAUUUGAGGGUGCCUUCGGGAAUGCAGUGACAGGUGGUGCAUGGCUGUCGUCAGCUCGUGUCGUGAGAUGUUGGGUUAAGUCCCGCAACGAGCGCAACCCACGUUUUUAGUUGCCAGCAUUUAGUUGGGCACUCUAGAAAGACCGCCGGUGAUAAACCGGAGGAAGGUGUGGAUGACGUCAAGUCAUCAUGCCCCUUACACCCUGGGCUACACACGUACUACAAUGCUACGGACAAAGGGCAGCAAACUCGCGAGAGCUAGCAAAUCCCAUAAACCGUGGCUCAGUUCAGAUCGUAGGCUGCAACUCGCCUACGUGAAGUAGGAAUCGCUAGUAAUCGCAGGUCAGCAUACUGCGGUGAAUACGUUCCCGGGCCUUGUACACACCGCCCGUCACACCAUGGAAGUUGGCCAUGCCCGAAGUCGUUACUCCAACCCUUGUGGAGGAGGACGCCUAAGGUGGGGCUAAUGACUGGGGUGAAGUCGUAACAAGGUAACCGUA